RNAcentral lists this ribosomal RNA (424 nucleotides) under uncultured bacterium. Its description in RNAcentral is "bacterial SSU rRNA". It matches the Rfam family "Bacterial small subunit ribosomal RNA", at positions 355 to 772 of the family's 1533-position model. The record is from RNAcentral.
UGGGGAAUAUUGGACAAUGGGCGCAAGCCUGAUCCAGCCAUGCCGCGUGAGUGAUGAAGGCCUUCGGGUCGUAAAGCUCUGUGGGGAGGGAAGAAUCCUUGCAGCAUCAGAUCCUGCAAGUUGACGGUACCUCCUUAGCAAGCACCGGCCAACUCCGUGCCCGCAGCCGCGGUAAUACGGAGGGUGCAAACGUUGCUCGGAAUCAUUGGGCGUAAAGCGCACGUAGGCGGACCAUCAAGUCGGUUGUGAAAUCCCUCGGCUUAACCGAGGACGUGCAUUCGAAACUGAUGGCCUUGAGUACUAAAGAGGAUCGCGGAAUUCCCGGUGUAGAGGUGAAAUUCGUAGAUAUCGGGAGGAACUCCAGUGGCGAAGGCGGCGAUCUGGGUAGAUACUGACGCUGAGGUGCGAAAGCGUGGGGAGCAAA